UAGGGAAUCUUCGGCAAUGGACGGAAGUCUGACCGAGCAACGCCGCGUGAGUGAAGAAGGUUUUCGGAUCGUAAAGCUCUGUUGUAAGAGAAGAACGAGUGUGAGAGUGGAAAGUUCACACUGUGACGGUAUCUUACCAGAAAGGGACGGCUAACUACGUGCCAGCAGCCGCGGUAAUACGUAGGUCCCGAGCGUUGUCCGGAUUUAUUGGGCGUAAAGCGAGCGCAGGCGGUUAGAUAAGUCUGAAGUUAAAGGCUGUGGCUUAACCAUAGUACGCUUUGGAAACUGUUUAACUUGAGUGCAAGAGGGGAGAGUGGAAUUCCAUGUGUAGCGGUGAAAUGCGUAGAUAUAUGGAGGAACACCGGUGGCGAAAGCGGCUCUCUGGCUUGUAACUGACGCUGAGGCUCGAAAGCGUGGGGAGCAAACAGGAUUAGAUACCCUGGUAGUCCACGCCGUAAACGAUGAGUGCUAAGUGUUGGUCUCAUAAGAGAUCAGUGCUGCAGCUAACGCAUUAAGCACUCCGCCUGGGGAGUACGACCGCAAGGUU
RNAcentral lists this ribosomal RNA (547 nucleotides) under uncultured bacterium. RNAcentral's name for it is "bacterial SSU rRNA". It matches the Rfam family "Bacterial small subunit ribosomal RNA", at positions 355 to 895 of the family's 1533-position model. The record is from RNAcentral.